UGGGGAAUAUUGCACAAUGGGCGAAAGCCUGAUGCAGCAACGCCGCGUGAGUGAUGAAGGCCUUCGGGUUGUAAAGCUCUGUCUUUUGGGACGAUAAUGACGGUACCAAAGGAGGAAGCCACGGCUAACUACGUGCCAGCAGCCGCGGUAAUACGUAGGGGGCAAGCGUUGUCCGGAUUUACUGGGUGUAAAGGGUGCUCAGGCGGAUUUGUAAGUCAGAGGUGAAAUCUUACAGCUUAACUGUGAAACUGCCUUUGAUACUGCAAGCCUAGAGUAUGGAAGAGAGUAAUGGAAUAUCUUGUGUAGCAGUGAAAUGCGUAGAUAUCAGAUAGAACACCAAUGGCGAAGGCAGUCACUUGCUCCAUUACUGACGCUAAAGCACGAAAGCGUAGGUAGCAAACA
Molecule: ribosomal RNA, 402 nt
Filed under: uncultured bacterium
Lineage: Bacteria
Description: bacterial SSU rRNA
Rfam family: Bacterial small subunit ribosomal RNA
Source: RNAcentral